This 253-nucleotide ribosomal RNA is filed under the name uncultured bacterium. Its description in RNAcentral is "partial 16S ribosomal RNA". It matches the Rfam family "Bacterial small subunit ribosomal RNA", at positions 524 to 776 of the family's 1533-position model. The record is from RNAcentral.
UACAGGGGGUGCAAACGUUGCUCGGAAUCAUUGGGCGUAAAGCGCACGUAGGCGGUCUGUUAUGUCGGAUGUGAAAGCCCUUGGCUCAACUGAGGAAGUGCAUCCGAAACUGGCAGGCUAGAGUACUAAAGAGGAUCGCGGAAUUCCCGGUGUAGAGGUGAAAUUCGUAGAUAUCGGGAGGAACACCGGUGGCGAAGGCGGCUACCUGGACCGGUUCUGACGCUGAUGCGCGAAAGCGUGGGGAGCAAACAGG